Molecule: ribosomal RNA, 253 nt
Filed under: uncultured bacterium
Lineage: Bacteria
Description: partial 16S ribosomal RNA
Rfam family: Bacterial small subunit ribosomal RNA
Source: RNAcentral
UACGGGGGGGGCAAGCGUUGUUCGGAAUUACUGGGCGUAAAGGGCUCGUAGGUGGCCAACUAAGUCAGACGUGAAAUCCCUCGGCUUAACCGGGGAACUGCGUCUGAUACUGGAUGGCUUGAGUUCGGGAGAGGGAUGCGGAAUUCCAGGUGUAGCGGUGAAAUGCGUAGAUAUCAGGAGGAACACCGGUGGCGAAGGCGGCUUUCUGGACAGUAACCGACGCUGAGGCACGAAAGCUAGGGGAGCAAACAGG